RNAcentral lists this unclassified non-coding RNA (234 nucleotides) under plant metagenome. Its description in RNAcentral is "partial contains small subunit ribosomal RNA, internal transcribed spacer 1, and 5.8S ribosomal RNA". The record is from RNAcentral.
UUUCCGUAUGUGAACCUGCGGAAGGAUCAUUACAGUAGUCGCCCGGGUUGCCGCAAGGCCUCCCGGGUAACCUACCACCCUUUGUUUAUUACACUUUGUUGCUUUGGCGGGCCUGCCCUCGGGCUGCUGGCUCCGGCCGGCGAGCGCUUGCCAGAGGACCUAAACUCUGUUUGUCUAUACUGUCUGAGUACUAUAUAAUAGUUAAAACUUUCAACAACGGAUCUCUUGGUUCUG